UAUUGUGUUGGCCAAAAAGUUCCUUUGGGUUUUUCCAUGGCAUUUUAUAGAAAAACUCAAAUGAACUUUUUGGCGAACCCAAU
RNAcentral lists this microRNA precursor (83 nucleotides) under Ovis aries (sheep). RNAcentral's name for it is "miRNA (ENSOARG00000021435.1)". Lineage: Eukaryota; Metazoa; Chordata; Mammalia; Artiodactyla; Bovidae. The record is from RNAcentral.